RNAcentral lists this long non-coding RNA (237 nucleotides) under Elaeis guineensis (African oil palm). RNAcentral's name for it is "long non-coding RNA (EGUI_LNC040897)". The record is from RNAcentral. Lineage: Eukaryota; Viridiplantae; Streptophyta; Magnoliopsida; Arecales; Arecaceae.
UUAAGGCUUUCAAUUUGGAUGUCAAAAUUUUUAAAAUUUAUAUUUCACUGCAUGACUGAAACCCAAUACUAAGUCUUAAUGAAUAGAUAAACCAUCUAAUAAUGAGAAAACAAGAAUGUUUAGCAUGUAAUACUGAAUAUAAUACAUAGAGCUGAAACUGCUGAUACACUUUCAAAACUUUAAUAUGUUAGACAAGAAUGAAUCAUGUAAUGAACUAUGCUGCUACUGGACUACUAC